RNAcentral lists this ribosomal RNA (252 nucleotides) under uncultured bacterium. RNAcentral's name for it is "partial 16S ribosomal RNA". It matches the Rfam family "Bacterial small subunit ribosomal RNA", at positions 524 to 776 of the family's 1533-position model. The record is from RNAcentral.
UACGUAGGGGGCAAGCGUUGUCCGGAAUCAUUGGGCGUAAAGAGCGCGUAGGCGGCCAGAUAAGUCCGGUGUGAAAGUCAAAGGCUCAACCUUUGAAUGCCGCUGGAAACUGUCUGGCUAGAGUCCGGGAGGGGCGAGUGGAAUUCCUGGUGUAGCGGUGAAAUGCGCAGAUAUCAGGAGGAACACCAAUGGCGAAGGCAGCUCGCUGGAACGGUACUGACGCUGAGGCGCGAAAGCGUGGGAGCAAACAGG